GGUGGGCGUCGACCGGCGCACGGGUGAGUAACGCGUAUCCAACCUGCCCAACCCACUUGGGGGAAUAACCUUGCGAAAGUAAGACUAAUACCCAAUGAUAUCCCACGAAGGCAUCCGAAUGGGAUUAAAGAUUUAUCGGUGAUGGAUGGGGAUGCGUCUGAUUAGCUUGUUGCGGGUAACGGCCCACCAAGGCAACGAUCAGUAGGGGUUCUGAGAGGAAGGUCCCCCACAUUGGAACUGAGACACGGUCCAAACUCCUACGGGAGGCAGCAGUGAGGAAUAUUGGUCAAUGGGCGAGAGCCUGAACCAGCCAAGUAGCGUGCAGGAUGACGGCCCUAUGGGUUGUAAACUGCUUUUAUAAGGGAAUAAAGUGGGUCACGUGUGACUUUUGCAUGUACCUUAUGAAUAAGGACCGGCUAAUUCCGUG
Molecule: ribosomal RNA, 427 nt
Filed under: uncultured bacterium
Lineage: Bacteria
Description: bacterial SSU rRNA
Rfam family: Bacterial small subunit ribosomal RNA
Source: RNAcentral